This 1464-nucleotide ribosomal RNA is filed under the name uncultured Bordetella sp. RNAcentral's name for it is "partial 16S-23S ribosomal RNA intergenic spacer". It matches the Rfam family "Bacterial small subunit ribosomal RNA". The record is from RNAcentral. Lineage: Bacteria; Pseudomonadati; Pseudomonadota; Betaproteobacteria; Burkholderiales; Alcaligenaceae.
GUAACAGAGGGUUCGAUUGCAUCAGAUUGCCGCUGGCGGGAUGUUUACACAUGCAAGUCGAACGGCAGCACGGGUGACUUCCCGUCUGGUGGCGUAGUGGCGAACGGUGAGUAAUGUAUCGGAACGCCUAGUAGCGGGGGAUAAUCAGCGCGAAAGGCAGCCAAUACCGGCUGGUUUACUCCUUCGGGGGAAAGCGGGGACCUUCAGGCCCGCACUACGCUGAGCAGCCGAUAUCGGAUUACGAAGUUGGUGUAACGGCUCACCAAGGCGACGAUCCGUAGCUGGUUUGAGAGGACGACCAGCCACACUGGGACUGAGACACGGCCCGUGACUCACGGGAGGCAGCAGUGGGAAUUCUGGACAAUGGGGAACCCUGAUCCAGCAUCUCCGCAGCGAUGAAGGCCUGGGUUGUAAAGCACUUUUGGCAGGAAAGAAACGGCACGGGAUAAUACCCUGUGCAACUGACGGUACCUGCAGAAUAAGCACCGGCUAACCACGUGCCAGCAGCCGCGGUACACGUAGGUAAAGCGCACCGAACUGGCUGGGCGUAAAGGCGCAGGCGGUUCGGAAAGAAAGAUGCGGAAUCCCAGAGCUUAACUUUGGAACUGCAUUUUAUCCACGAGCUACAGAGGUGUCAGAGGAGGAAUUCCGCGUGUAGCAGUGAAUGAAGAUAAGUGCGGAGGAACACCGAUGGCGAACAGCCUUCUGAUAACACUGACGCUCAUGCACGAAAUGGAGCAAACAGGAUUAGAUACCCUGGUAGUUCACGCCCUAAAACGACAACCAUUGUUAGCCCAAGUCGGUAGCGCAGCUAACGCAAGUUGACCGCCUGGGGAGUUAUGGUCAAAGAUUAAAAACCCAAAGGAAUCGACGGGGACCCGCACAAGCGGUGGAUGAUGUGCAGAUUAAUCAGAUGCGAACGCGAAAACCUUACCAAUUUCUUGACAUGUCUGGAAUCCCGAAGAGAUUUGGGAGCAGUGUCGGCAGGAGAGAACCGGAACACAGGUGCUGCAUGGCUUGUCGUCAGCUCGUGUGUCGGGAGAUGCUGGGUUAAGUCCCGGCAACGAGCGCAACCCUAAGUCAUUGGUUGCUACGAAAGGGCACCCGACGAGACUGCUGGUGACAAACCGGAGAAGGUGUGGAUGAUGGUCAAGUCCAUGGCCCUGUGGCGGGUGGGCUUCAAGCACGUCAUACAAUGAGUCAGAGCAGAGGAUCGCCAACCCGCGAGGGGGAGCCAAUCCCAGAAACCCGAUCAGUCCGAUCGCAGUCUGCAAUCGACUGCGCAGUCGGAAUCGCUGGUAAUCGCGGAUCAGCAUGUCGCGGUGAAAUAUGUUCCCGGGUCUUGGCCAUACCCGCCCGUCACACCAUGGGAGUGGGUUUUACCAGAAGUAGUUAGCCUCCAACCGGGCGAGGGCGAUUACCACGGUAGGAUUUAUGACUGGGGUGGAAGUCGCAACAAGGUAG